ACAUCCAGAGAAUUUAGCAGAGAUGCUUUAGUGCCUUCGGGAACUCUGAGACAGGUGCUGCAUGGCUGUCGUCAGCUCGUGUUGUGAAAUGUUGGGUUAAGUCCCGNAACGAGCGCAACCCUUAUCCUUUGUUGCCAGCACGUAAUGGUGGGAACUCAAAGGAGACUGCCGGUGAUAAACCGGAGGAAGGUGGGGAUGGCGUCAAGUCAUCAUGGCCCUUACGAGUAGGGCUACACACGUGCUACAAUGGCGCAUACAAAGAGAAGCGACCUCGCGAGAGCAAGCGGACCUCAUAAAGUGCGUCGUAGUCCGGAUUGGAGUCUGCAACUCGACUCCAUGAAGUCGGAAUCGCUAGUAAUCGUAAAUCAGAAUGUUACGGUGAAUACGUUCCCGGGCCUUGUACACACCGCCCGUCACACCAUGGGAGUGGGUUGCAAAAGAAGUAGAUAGCUUAACCUUCGGGAGGGCGUUUACCACUUUGUGAUUCAUGACUGGGGUGAAGUCGUAACAAGGUAAGCGUAGUGCU
This 526-nucleotide ribosomal RNA is filed under the name uncultured bacterium. RNAcentral's name for it is "bacterial SSU rRNA". It matches the Rfam family "Bacterial small subunit ribosomal RNA", at positions 984 to 1509 of the family's 1533-position model. The record is from RNAcentral.